RNAcentral lists this transfer RNA (84 nucleotides) under Candidatus Poribacteria bacterium. RNAcentral's name for it is "tRNA-Leu". It matches the Rfam family "tRNA". Rfam says of the family: Transfer RNA (tRNA) molecules are approximately 80 nucleotides in length. Lineage: Bacteria; Candidatus Poribacteria. The record is from RNAcentral.
GCCGGAGUGGUGAAAUCGGUAGACGCGCUGGACUCAAAAUCCAGUGAGCCUUGGCUCGUGUCGGUUCGAGUCCGACCUCCGGCA